AUUGAACGCUGGCGGCAGGCCUAACACAUGCAAGUCGAGCGAGCGGCGGACGGGUGAGUAAUGUCUGGGAAACUGCCUGAUGGAGGGGGAUAACUACUGGAAACGGUAGCUAAUACCGCAUACCAUCAGAUGUGCCCAGUUGGGAUUAGCUAGUGGGUGGGGUAACGGCUCACCUAGGCGACGAUCCCUAGCUGGCCUGAGAGGAUGACCAGCCACACUGGAACUGAGACACGGCCCAGACUCCUACGGGAGGCAGCAGUGGGGAAUAUUGCACAAUGGGCGCAAGCCUGAUGCAGCCAUGCCGCGUGUGUGAAGAAGGUCUUCGGGUUGUAAAGCACGUUCAGCGGGGAGGCGUUACCCACAGAGAAAGCACCGGCUAACUCCGUGCCAGCAGCCGCGGUAAUUC
RNAcentral lists this ribosomal RNA (406 nucleotides) under uncultured bacterium. RNAcentral describes it as "partial 16S ribosomal RNA". It matches the Rfam family "Bacterial small subunit ribosomal RNA", at positions 30 to 526 of the family's 1533-position model. The record is from RNAcentral.